AAAAAAGUGAAUGAUUAUCCUUUCUCAAGCUAAUUUCAAUUGAGUCCCGAUUAUUUCUAUUACAUUAUGCCAUUGGAGUAAUAGGAAAAAUGUAUUUAAUGAAUUGCUAUUCUUAGGUGAUGUACAUUGGAACUUUUUAAAUUCUAGGUUGGGAUGUUUUCUGAAAGGCCAAAUGGUUAAAAAAAUCCAAAAUUUUGUCGCUUUUUACAAU
Molecule: unclassified non-coding RNA, 211 nt
Filed under: Hevea brasiliensis (rubber tree)
Lineage: Eukaryota; Viridiplantae; Streptophyta; Magnoliopsida; Malpighiales; Euphorbiaceae
Source: RNAcentral